This 439-nucleotide ribosomal RNA is filed under the name uncultured bacterium. Its description in RNAcentral is "partial 16S ribosomal RNA". It matches the Rfam family "Bacterial small subunit ribosomal RNA", at positions 339 to 795 of the family's 1533-position model. The record is from RNAcentral.
CUACGGGGUGCUCCAGUGAGGAAUAUUGCACAAUGGGGGGAACCCUGAUGCAGCAACGCCGCGUGGAGGAUGACGCAUUUCGGUGUGUAAACUCCUUUUAUAUGUCAAGAAAAUGACGGUAGCAUAUGAAUAAGCACCGGCUAACUCCGUGCCAGCAGCCGCGGUAAUACGGAGGGUGCAAGCGUUACUCGGAAUCACUGGGCGUAAAGGACGCGUAGGCGGGUUGGAAAGUGAGGUGUGAAAUCCUACAGCUUAACUGUAGAACUGCACUUGAAACUUCUAAUCUAGAGUAUGGGAGGGGGGGAUGGAAUUAGUGGUGUAGGGGUAAAAUCCGUAGAUAUCACUAGGAAUACCUAAAGCGAAGGCGAUCUCCUGGAACAUUACUGACGCUAAGGCGUGAAAGCGUGGGGAGCAAACAGGAUUAGAUACCCCAGUAGUC